GAUUUCUGGUUCGGCGCACUUGGCCCGUCUCGGUUUACGGGAUUGUGUGCCGGUGUGCGCCAUCCAUCCUUCGAUGAGAACAUUGCUGCCCUUUAUUGGGUGUGUAAUGUCUCUCUCGAUCUUUUACUUUGAAAAAAUUAGAGUGUUUAAAGCAGGCUUGCGCUAUGAAUACAUUAGCAUGGAAUAAUAAUUUAGGACUUUAUUCCUAUUUUAUUGGUUUCUAGGAGUAAAGUAAUGAUUGAUAGGGAUAGUUGGGGGUGCUAGUAUUCAUCGGCCAGAGGUGAAAUUCUUGGAUUCGAUGAAGACUAACUAAUGCGAAAGCAUU
This 325-nucleotide ribosomal RNA is filed under the name Cercomonadidae sp. Its description in RNAcentral is "SSU rRNA". It matches the Rfam family "Eukaryotic small subunit ribosomal RNA", at positions 629 to 955 of the family's 1831-position model. Lineage: Eukaryota; Cercozoa; Cercomonadida; Cercomonadidae. The record is from RNAcentral.